CACACCGCCCGUCACACCAUGAGAGUUGGAGAUACCCGAAGCCUAUGAGCUAACUUUUAGAGGCAGUAGUCGAAGGUAGAAUCAAUGAUUGGGGUGAAGUCGUAACAAGGUACC
RNAcentral lists this ribosomal RNA (114 nucleotides) under uncultured bacterium. Its description in RNAcentral is "partial 16S ribosomal RNA". It matches the Rfam family "Bacterial small subunit ribosomal RNA", at positions 1386 to 1500 of the family's 1533-position model. The record is from RNAcentral.